AACUUUCGGCAAUGGAUCUUUUGGCUCUCGCAUCGAUGAAGAACGCAGCGAAAUGCGAUAAGUAAUGUGAAUUGCAGAAUUCAGUGAAUCAUCAAAUCUUUGAACGCACCUUGCGCUCCUUGGUAUUCCGAGGAGCAUGCCUGUUUGAGUGUCAUUAAUAUAUAUAUAUCAAACUUCUCUUUGUUGAGUGGUUUUGGAUGUGGGGGUUUUUGCUGGGCCUCUUAAAGGGUUCAGCUCCCCUGAAAUGCAUUAGCAGAACAACCCUGUUCAUUGGUGUGAUAACUAUCUACGCUAUUGAAUGUGAGGGGCAAGUUCAGCUUUCUAACAGUCCUUGGACAAUUCUUCAUUAAUGUGACCUCAAAUCAGGUAGGACUACCCGCUGAACUUAAGCAUAUCAAUAAGCGGAGGCU
Molecule: unclassified non-coding RNA, 410 nt
Filed under: uncultured Cortinarius
Lineage: Eukaryota; Fungi; Basidiomycota; Agaricomycetes; Agaricales; Cortinariaceae
Description: sequence contains ITS2
Rfam family: 5.8S ribosomal RNA (bases 1-154)
Source: RNAcentral